This 71-nucleotide transfer RNA is filed under the name Perca flavescens (yellow perch). It matches the Rfam family "tRNA". From Rfam's summary of the family: Transfer RNA (tRNA) molecules are approximately 80 nucleotides in length. The record is from Rfam by way of RNAcentral. Lineage: Eukaryota; Metazoa; Chordata; Actinopteri; Perciformes; Percidae.
UCCCAUAUGGUCGAGCGGUUAGGAUUCCUGGUUUUCACCUAGGUGGCUGGGUUCAACUCCCGGUAUGGGAA